RNAcentral lists this unclassified non-coding RNA (345 nucleotides) under soil metagenome. RNAcentral describes it as "partial contains 5.8S ribosomal RNA, internal transcribed spacer 2, and large subunit ribosomal RNA". The stretch from base 3 to 120 matches the Rfam family "5.8S ribosomal RNA", at positions 37 to 154 of the family's 154-position model. The record is from RNAcentral.
GCUGAAGAACGUAGCGAAAUGCGAUAAGUAAUGUGAAUUGCAGAAUUCCGUGAAUCAUCGAAUCUUUGAACGCACAUUGCGCCCUCUGGUAUUCCGGGGGGCAUGCCUGUCCGAGCGUCAUUUGCAACCCUCAAGCCCGGCUUGUGUGAUGGGUGCCGUCCCCUACGGGACGCGCCCCGAAGGCAAUGGCGGCGUCGCGGUUAUCCGAUCAGCCAAAGUGUAUGGGGCUUUGUCACUCACUUUACGGCCCGGACCGGCGCCAGUCCGAAUCAAUCUUUUUUCUAAAGUUGACCUCGGAUCAGGUAGGGAUACCCGCUGAACUUAAGCAUAUCAAUAAGCGGAGGA